CUUUAAUAUUUUUAUUAGUAAUAUUGCACGGACUUGAUGGUAAGGUAUGUCUUUUUGCUGAUGAUACUAAGAUAUGUAACAGGGUUGAUGUUCCAGGAGGGAUAAGCCAAAUGGCAAAUGAUUAAGGUAAACUAGAAAAAUGGUCAGAGUUGUGAAAACUGACAUUUAAUGUGGAUAAGUGCAAGAUAAUGCAUCUUGGACGUAAAAACCGAAGGGCAGAG
Pelobates cultripes (western spadefoot toad) is the source of this 221-nucleotide non-coding RNA. NCBI's taxonomy places the organism in Eukaryota, Metazoa, Chordata, Amphibia, Anura, Pelobatidae. The record is from the annotation of a GenBank genome assembly.